Phalacrocorax carbo (great cormorant) is the source of this 13402-nucleotide non-coding RNA. The record is from RefSeq and is a predicted model, not a curated record. NCBI's taxonomy places the organism in Eukaryota, Metazoa, Chordata, Aves, Suliformes, Phalacrocoracidae.
CAAAUACAGAAGAGGUUUAUAUUCUUGUCACAGGGGGCAUAUUGGCUUAGCAGAUAAUUAAGUACUGCUUGGUAAAGGAUACCGAGGGAGCAAGUUACUGAGACAGGAUAUAGGAAACGUGAUGAUUUUGUUGAGUGCUGCUGUGGAGCACAAAGUCACUAAUGUGAUCCCUAACAGGGAAUUAAAUUGUAGAUCUCCCUCUAUGUGUGUAAUGAAAAAAGGGCUGGUCUCUGCAGAGUACUAAGUGUGGGUACCGAUGGGUUUGUAUUGCAGACCUCCUGGCAGUUAAGUACAUUGCCACAGCAAGCAGAUCUCUUGGCUUUACAAAGCAUGGACUCCUUGAGUUGUCAUUGCUGCUAAGAAAAGAUCAGUUUUCAUGAACGGAGUACCAAGGUAAGUGCUAUAGGUCUUCAGGGCCAUAUGAGCGCUCCUGCACUGGAUUUAUGCUGCAAUUCCUAGGGCGCUUCAGGGAUUAAUAGUCAAAUCAGUGUUGGUGGUGCUGGUGGUUUAAAUCCAAUGAUCCAGGCUAAACUGGUGCCUGGGGAAGCCAAUCUCCUCCAACAGCUCUACAUCUUCAUUUCUUAAUUUAUCUUCAGAUGUAAUGUCUGAGGGAGCGAGAUCAGCGUGUGUGAGUCCCAGCAAGAAGGCUCUGCAUCCGGGGUCAAGAAUCCCAUCAAAUAAAUGUGAAAAAGAUUAGGCAAAGAAACUGAGAAACCAGAGAAUAUACAAAGACAGCUUGUAGAUGAAAGAGAGUCGGCUCAGAGAAAUGAGAAAAGAUGAGUAAAAUGUGAAUAUAAAAUUAAGUGGAAAUAUGGAAACGAAAUAAUUAGAAUGCAUGUUUCCAAAUGUGCAGCGUCACCUGCUCCACCUGUCUUAGUGUCUUAGACUUUUGAAGCUUUUUACUUCAAGAUCACCUUGGAAUAGGUUUAUAGUGAUAUAAAUCCCUAAUAUAUAUUAUUAAUACUAAGUUAUAGAUGUCAACGUUGGCAUUUCUUGUUCUAUUAAAUCUGUGUAUGGCUUUAGUUAUUGCUCUCUAAAAAUAAUUUAAGAAAAAACUAUGCAAAAACCCAACAUUGAAGCAAUCUGACUGUGUGCACUAGGGGGCCACAUUGCUGUACCUGUAGGUACUGUUGAAUUACAGUGAUGAGGAAAAAAAUCCCACGUGCGGGUGAGGCUGGGUAACAGCAGUGUCCUGGGGAAAGUUGAGUGAAUGUGGGGGCAAUUACAGAAAAAGCUUUGUAUCGAGAGUCACAGAGAGCUAAAACUUGAGACGUAAAAUGACUGAAGACAGUAAUUAAAGACAUUUUUGUGGCACAAGAAUGGAAGGUAAGUUUUUUUAAAAAAAGUAAUUAUGAACUGAAGCGAGAGGUGAGCAGAAGUAUGUGAAGUUAACGGAUGUGUGUAAAAAGUGACUGAGCUAUAAUCACUGUUAUGCUUUUGCUGAUUGUUAUUGAUGCAGGAAAUAAAUACCGUAAUUCUCCAGAGGGACUGUCUCAGCAAGAAUUUGAGAUCUGAAGAUCAGUGUAGUUUAUUCCUCAUGGCCAAAUUGUAUUAGCAGCUGAACUUGGCCCGUAGGGACAGCUGUACUGGUGAAAAUAAUGUCCAUUUAACCCCCCCCGAUCUGAUUUCCUCUAUCCAAAUAUCAAUUUCCAGCCCCUUUCCUAGGUUGUGCUGAAACAGCACGCAGCCAAGUCCCACGGCUGUCCCGCCACCUCCUGGCCACAUUUUGCCGCCUCUCCGUGGCUCCUUUUCCUCCUUCUGCUGACCUUUUUUGGUCUGGUGGGGAGCAUGGGGCCUCUUGUUUUUGGGGCCUUUGGCUGACCGUGCCCUCCAUACGUGGCUGUCUCCUAGCUCUGGCCGUGCGGAGCCAGGGCGGUGCGGCUGUGCCAUGUGCAGGAUGUUCUCUAGCAUUCCGUGCUUGCAGUUCCCUGGAAAAACGAGUCCAGGGGAGGGUCGUAUCUGGGGGGUGGCGGUGGGUGGGCAGGGGGAGAACAGCGUUCAGCUCAGCUGGGCAGAAUGAGUCGGUGAUGUUAGUAGCUUGAGUUUUCAGUUCAUAACAGUGCCAGUUUACUAGGGGAAAAUGUGAAAGUUUUGUCUGGGGAAGUGCAAACUCUUGCAUUAUGGGUUUGCUUGACUGAUUUUAGACAGCUGGAGUUGGUUAAUGAGUGUCACCUUUUGAUGUACCUGUUAUCCCACAAAUGUUUCUUUUCCAUAUAUUCUUCCGUAAGUUUUUCUGCUUUAUUAGUGCGCCUUUAACUCAUGGAUUAGGAUGAGGCGUGCCCUCCCACCCCCGCAUUUGAUAACUGUUUUUUCCAACUGAAGGUUCAUUAUUUCCUUACAGUCCUGGCUCCUUGUCACCUGAAGCUGCAGGUGUCACUUUAGGGUGAAUGAAAGAGACUGGCUUUUCUGUGUGUGAAGAAAACAAGAAAGUGCUUGGCAACAUAAUCCGAAUAUGAAUUUGGAAUACAUUGCACAGAAAUCAGAAAGCAACUGAUAAUCACAAAAUGUUUUUAGAAAAUUCCAAUUAUUUAAAUGCCGGGUUUUAAAACGAAAACAAAGCCACAAGCAGGCUUUGUUGGAAGGCUGGUUGCAGGAGCCCGGGCCCUGUCACUGGGGCUGCUCUCACUAGAGGGCAGCCCGAGACUGGGGGUUGGCUGCCGGCGCCAGCCCUGGGCAUCCCGCAGCUGGGCGCCGGCCUGCCGUGGGCUUUCUGUAUGUAUUUCUACACGUUGUUGUAAUUCAGCCAACUGUUUCGAGUCUACAUUUAAAAAUUGUUUAUUCUUUUGGAAUAAAUUUGCCUGUUUGCAGCUUUUUUUGGCAUACCGGACUCUAGUUCUCCCAUACAUCAACCUCUUCUGCAUCACAGUAAAAUUAUCAGUGGAAAGAGGAUUUUGAAGGAAUUAAAAUUCCCCACAAAUUCAAACCUUUUUUUAAAACACUAAUAUAUUCUUAUAUUGAAAUAAGAAGCUAUGUCCUUAGAAUAUCUGGAGUUAACUGCUGCUCACCAGAACUACCCAGCCUUGCCUCGCAGAGCAGUGCUAAGAAAGCAACACUUGCUCCCCAAAACAGUAACAAGGAGUCAGUAAGCAGAGGCGUUGGCAGCUGACAUUUGGUUUCCCAGUGUGCUGAGAUCACGUAUGAUCCAAACACAUGUCAGGAUGACAGACACCACUGCUGCUCCUGAACAGCUUGUAUUUACUAAUUCAUACCAGCAUUCUGCAUUCAUGUAUUAUUCCAUGACUUACAGUCUGUCUUACAGUCAUUACUUCUGCCGUUCUUUGAAUCUAGUUUAGAUCUCAUUGAAUAUUUUAUUUUAAAACAUAAUUAACAUUGGCUUAUAUGUGAUAGGGAUGUAGGAUGCAAAAUUAGUAUUAAAAAUGAUAAAUUAUGAAGUGGUACUAGUUAUUAGAGUUAUAGCAGAUUGAACAGUUUAACAUAUUACAUUUGGUUUUGGUUAAACUACAUAAAAUUGACGUAACUCAUUAAAAUUUCAAAAGAAUACAAAUAAAAAAGGUUUUAGGCUCAAAAAUCAAUUGUGUUGGAUUUUUCCUAAAAAAUGUUCAGAUGUUUUUCUAGAAAAGGGUUGUCAAAUUCUGCAGGCCUGUAUGACAUGGUUUGGUUGUCUUGACUUGGCACUUCAACCAUGGUAAGUAAGUUUUGGCCAAAAAUACGUUAGUACAUAUUGCAUGUUACUAUUCGUAAUGGAGUGCAAUAGACAGAUGAUACCUCGAUGAGCUUCCUGCUGCAGUGUGGUGGCUGCUGCAGUAUUUGUGCAUCCCUGUCAGCCAGGGCGCUUCCUCUGGUCACCUCCAAAUCUCCUGGCACUGCCAGGCCAGCCACAGGCUCAAGGACCGCACACAGCGAGCUCCUGAACAUAAAUGAGAGUUUUACCUAUGCUGUGUGUAACUCAGCCUUGGGGCUCUGGAGUGAGACAAAGGAGUUUUUGCUAGGACUAAGGUGACAGGAAGGAAGAGACACUUUUCGCACAAGGCUUGUGUUAAAAUAAUUUAUGUUUCACUGAAGCAUCUUUUGCUGUGUUUCCCAGAAAGUGCUUAAGCACUAACUGCUUGGGUCGGAGUCCAGGGAGAGGGCAUCUGCCAGCUCAGGGGGCUCUCGCUGGGACCAUGGGGCUGCUCCUGCCACCCCGACCCACAAAGGAGCAGGAGGCUGUGGCCAUGCAGGACUAUCUGCAGCGCAGCCACCUCCUGUGCAGUGCACUGUCAGCAGGUGCUUCAUGCCAAACAGCCAGCGUGCCUGGAGUUAGGAGCUGGGAUGAAAUCCCAAGAAAGUUGAAAAGGUUCAUUAAGUAAACAGAUACAAAUUUUCGUUUUUGUUCUGUAAUGAGGCAUGUUUCUCAAAGGCUUCACUAUCAGGAAGGCCCUGUUCCUGCCAGAUUCUUUCAAAGUAACACAAUUAGGCAGGCUGUCAGGAGUGAACGAUUCUUUUUAAUAAAAUGAGUCAGCUUGUGCUCUCCUUGUCCAAGUGAUGUGUUGCUGAGUCCACACACAUGAAGGCCGCAUCUGCUGAGGCACCACGUAGCUCCAGGUCCAACUGGUUUGAAUGUGUCUGUCACAACGUGCCAACUCAGGUGAGUCCUGUCCAUGGGACAUGUGUCUUCACAAGUGCAGGUUGUGCGACCCAGAGAAAAACAAGUGGAAACUAUUUGUCUGUUGGCAUUGGGCUGAAGGAGCCCUGUGAUGUCCCUUUUGCCAUAGUCAGCACCUGAACUAACAGUGUCCUGAGCUGCUGCCUCAGCCCGUAAGAGACAACAGCUGCUUUACCCAGCUGUUAUGGAGUGGUGCUUAGUCACACACGUUACCUAUAACCCUAACACUGGCUGUGACUAUGCUCGUAAUGCAUGGAGGCAGCUUUUUUUUUUGUUGGUUUUUUUUUUAAUUUAGCAUUCCUGGUAUCUACAUUAGCUUUUUAGCAACCAGUUAUAGGAGGCACUGGUGACAAUAUAAAGUUGGGCCCAAACCAUCAGAAGGAAUUCAGGCAGAUCCCCUCACUGGACUGCAACGGGAGGCACUGAGCCAUGUCCUCAGGUGUCUCUUGGCAUUUCCACUUGAAGUUUUCUUACAUGGGAGGGUGAAAAGUAGUCUCAGCAUCUGGGGGUUUUGACUCCCACUGCAGGUGAGGCCUUUAUGAGCAGUGGUCAGCUGCUUGUACAGAGCUAGUGAGGCUUCCAGCUCCACAGCUGUAAUCUGAUUUCUUCUGAACUGCUGGGCAGUGAGGGGGUUAAUGCUGCUGGCUUGCUUUGAUAAUUGGGGGGGGGGGGAAAAACCUCCAAAGCCAACAAAAAAACCCCAAACCACCCCGCUUGAGGUCAGUGCUCUAGGAAGUGCCUUUUAAAGAACAAUAACCUGGUGCAAGAGAAAAAUACUUCAUCCAUCUCUUAGGUAGAAAUCUGAUAAACCACAGAGGGAGGCAGGUGUCCAAGGAAAUAAAAGUAAUAAAUGUGGCUGCAGUUCUGGAGUGAGCUAGCCUGUCAGACUGGUAAUUAAGUGAAAGCCCCUGUCAGGAAAUGCUGGAAGCUAAUAGAUAUACAUAGAGAUGGCAAUUCAUUUGCCUCAGCAAUAUAUGUUAAUUUUAGCAAAAGAUUAAUUUAUACAUUUUGCAGUGGGACAGAAUGGUGGGGGUGAAAGCAGGAGAGCUUUCAUCAUGCCAGUGAUUAUUUCAGGUGGUAGAGAUUAUUAAGCAUUUUAUACUUCUUAAAAACGGAACACUGGGGGAGAAUGGGAGAGGGAGAAUGUUUAAUUUAAGCAGAUCCUCAAAUCAGAAUUAGCUAAUCGCAGACUUAUAACUAACCAAAACCACAUUUGCAGGCAGCUGCUGGGGAUCCUUUGCUUUGCCACAGCUCAGUAAGUACAGAGCCCUGGUUAGCAAACAGCCUGAGCUUGAGCCGCUUGGUGUUGGUGUGGUUCUUUUAAAAAAGGUUUGCAAGAGUUACACGAGUGUGAAAUUGGGAGUGCUGCAGUGGUGAAUCACACCUUUGGGAAGAACAGCUGUCACUUGAGACCAUGGCAAGCUUAGGGAUGCUUUGGUAGGUGAACAGAGGAGCUGCAGGAGAGGACUGACUUAUAUGCAAAAGCACCUGGCAAUUAUUAGCAGACUGACAUGUGCUGUCAGGGUUUGGGGCAAUGAGUAAGCCUCUGCUCAGGCCCACAGCAGCUUUAGUGAUGCGGCACUGACUGCUGACAGAGCUGCCCAGCUCCUGAUUUGUGGUUGUCCUGUUCUGGAAGAAAACUAAUUCUGAGGCCAGGUACGCAUUGAAGUGGGGGAGAUGGUCACCCGAUGCAGAGGGCAGUGAGGGGGCUGUGACCCUGCUGUGCGCAUGGGUGGGGUGUGUUUGUGUGUCACAGUCCCUCUCUGAGGUAAUUUUUGACCCUUGUGUCCAGUUUCAACUGUAUUUGUCACAGCCCUCAAGCUCUUACAUAACAGCCCUACAGUGCUCAUGCACACAGCAGAGGACAGCUAUGCCAUUAACAUUGCAUGAUCUUCCCUGUGGUGAAUCUGGCAUUGCUGGGGCUCACUGGUGCCGUGUGCCACGGCCCAGGCCCUCCACCACCGGUAGCGUGAGGUCCUGCUGGGUGCAUGGUGCUUGUCGCAAUGAGGCCCUGAGUUACACUUCCGAGUGUGGCGUUAGGGGUAUGACUAUGGGUAUUUCAGCUCUGAAACACAGGCUGCAGUGCAGCAGGCUUCUUUCUUUAAAAAAAAAAAAAAGCGCUGAUCUGUAAAAUUAUCAGCAUUGAGGCAGCAGAAGGCAAAGCAGAUUUUCCUUUGUUUUCUUCUGCCUUAGAGGAGGAAUACUUGCUUCCCCUUCAGUGUGAUUACAGCCCAUUUACCAACACUUCUUUUUGAAUUUCAGACCUAUGUUUUAGAACAGUCACAAGCAAGAAGUGUUUCCUUUCAGAGCCUGGAGCAGUCAGUGCAAGGGUGAAGUUUAUUUAACAAAAAGAAUAGUUCUAGCUGAAUUCACAUUGUGAAAUUAUAGAUCCAUUUAAAGCAAAGUAGAAAUAGUAGCGGGUUAGGGUCAGGGAAGGAAGAUCUGCUGCAAAGUGCAUCCAACAACCAUCUUCUAGGGUUUUUUUGUAGGAUGUUUUUCUUUUCUUUGUAUAAUUAUGCAAAGAAAAAGACCUAAAAAGCAAUGUGCUAGGUGCUGAAAGCAAGCUCGAGGCUUGCUCAGGGAUUGCAAGUAGAGGCAUUAUAAAUGGUGUCUCAAAUGCAUCAGCUGUUUCAGAGCUAUGGGCUCUGUCCUUCCCGUCAUGGACAGGAUGGAGGUCUGUGACCUUCCUGGCCGCACACAUGUCCCCAGUGCAGCUGGCCAGGGCAGGACCCCGCUGGGGCGCAAUCCCCACGAGGGCUGGCCCUGGCUGAGCACUCCUUGCUUUUGCACCAGUUGCCCUGAUCCCAUAGGUCUCCUCAAUCCGUUUUGUUCCAGACAGCAGCUGUCACAAAUGCACGUUUUUCACGGGAAAGAGGGUUGCUACCAGCUUUUCCUAAUGGUACUUCAUAUGUAGUUUAUUUUUGCUAAAGACACUGGCUUCUAUGUCUCCUCCCAGGCACUGCGGCAGUGUCCUUCUGCCCCUGCUCUGAGGGCUCCCCGUUAGUAUUACCGUAGCAGGAGGUGAGCUAGAAACACACCCAGGAAUAUAUUGUUAAGUCCUGCCUGUAUCAGCCCUGCAUGUUUGCCUGUAAGAGCUGUGGGAGAUGUGGAGGAGUUGGGAGAGUCAGUAUCAUUACAGGAGGGACUCCUGUGCCAGGGAGGUCAUCUUAAUGCAGCCCUCCCUAUCACUCAAGGAGUUACCUGUGGCCCUUUGAGGUGACCAAGGGGGCUUCCAGAGAUUUUAAGAGACUUUGGGGCAUGCCUUAGAGCAUCUUUGUCUUGACACUACUGAAUCCUACUGAGCCCUUCCAGAGCCUGGCAUUUAAACAGAGAUCGUGUUUAGAGUUGUCCUCUUCUUAGGAGUUAAGACAACAAAAAAAGAUAGAAAUAAUUAUUUCCCACAUUGUCUUGCAUGUAAAUAUACCAAGCUCCACAGCUAGCCCUGUUUUUGCUGCCCACACAGACAUGCGGGGUCAGUUCUGGGGGCAGAAGACAGGGAUGUUCAAGUUGCUAGUGAAGAUACAUUACCUGCAGAUUGCAGCUCAAAUUCUGCUCUGGCUCAGUAGCACCAAGACAUGUUCCUACCUUGAACAGAGGUGAUGAACAAACUGGUUGGAGCCCCUUGUUCACCUUGAGCACCGGAGGAGGAGUUUCUGCAGGCUGGCUUUGAGCACACCUUCAGAUGCAGUACGGCACUUGCGGCAGCUCCACUCCAAGGCCCUGGUGCUGCCAAGGCCUGCGAGUUUAAAAGUAGCUGAAACUCCCACAUGGCAACAUGAUUUACUAAACCACUAAGAUAUUGGGUCAGCCUUGUAAAUCAUUGUAAUUAUUUUACUGAACAGGUUGUGGAAAUAGAUCAAUAGAAAAUACGGCAUUUAGGCUUACAAUGCUGUGCAUUCAUUAUGGGAAAGAAAUUAUAUUAACUGAUUUAGGAGCUAAUAAUAACUGAAAAUAACAAUUUAAUGGAAGCCUUCCAAUCCUGCACUUUGAAAGCAAGACACAGCUACACGCAGUCUACCCAUUUUAGUAUCAGUCAAGUAUACAUAGUGAUUUUUUCGACUCUCAGAGAAAUGUCAGUCAAGUACAAGUAACUUGCAGACUUUCAGCAUCCCAUAAAUUACAUUGUAAUAAAACAAAGCCAAAGAAACUAUCAACAACCAUAUUUACAUACUGGCAGGGUCACACUCACCAGGCACAUGAAAAGUAAGACAAUGUAUUACAAUAUGGGAAAGUGGAGGUGUUGCACAGCAGGGGCUAUUUUCCACUGGCAAUUGCUAUUUCCAUGAGACUGUGGUUUGUGCUGCUGGGCUUGAAGGGCACGCACUUCUCUCUAAAAUGUUGGGGUUCUGUCUCAAACAUCUGAAUACUAAAUAUAUGCUAUAUACGUGAAAUAUACAUAAAGAGAGAGGGAGAGAAACCAGGAAAAAACUAAUCUCUCCUGUGCAGCAAAAGCCAGGUGUCAGCAUUCAGUAGUUGGGGGUCAGCAUUGCUCUAUUACAAUUAUUUUACUGUAGCUAAACUAAAUUUGGUACGCUGUGCCCUGGUUUCCUUAAUGCAUACAUGAUAGUCACCUGUGCUGUUAAAAUACUCUCUCCUGAAAUAAGCUGUGCCUUGUGACUAUUUAAUGCCUUAUUGGCCAUCGAGUAACUAUGCUGAACCAAGCAGGCACCACUGUGGGCAGAAUUUAAGCUGUAAUCAGAUAGCACACCUAUGUCACCUGCUCAUUGGAAAGCCUGCAGCCUACUGAUAGGCAGUUGUCACAUCAGCUAUCUCCACUCUGGUUUGCAGGCAGAGUUUAGCUCUUCUUUGUGCCCUCAGGCUAGAUAGCAUUUGAAUUAUGCACUUCAUCGCACCCCAAUUAGCUAGAGAUGCAUGACAAAAAUCAUUAUCAGUGUGUUUAUUUGGGAAAACACCUUAUUUUGCCAUUUGGUUCAGCAUAUUAAGAAAAACACACGCACCCUUUUUCUCCACUGAGAAAAGCUUGUUUUAGAGCAGAGUGAAACUUCGAGCUGUGGCAAAUCGUGCUGCUCCUGCUUAUUCACCUGUUCUAGCCAGCUGUUUUGGGAAUGUUAAGUGUUGCUUAAAAAAAAAUUAAUUGGCUUCAGCAUGACCACAAAACUGAGUGACCACACUCCCUGUGCAGCGUGGCUGCCUCUUACUCCCGAGACCCCACAGCAGGUGAGUUUUACCGUGUCCCCAGGUAAAUGGCCCCUGUGGCUCCCCACACCACCUCCCCGCCUGCCUUGCCAUUUUGGAAUCACACUCCCAGCUAUAAACAACAAACUGGAUGGAUGUUUUUCCCAAGCCCUGUAAAUGCAAGCAGCAACAGAUGAGCACUGAAUGAGGGGAAACAUGACGUGUGAACACAUGGUGUUUUCAUGGCACUGAACAUGAGCAGUUGCUUUCGCUGGUGCUGCUCUGCUCCAAAAACCUGCAGUGACAAGGUUUGAAUUACCCUGGGUAAUAAGCCUAAACUUGGUUGACUUUUCCAUACAUGUUUAUGACCAGGUUGACAAAUACUUUCUGAACCUAGCAAAGCGUUGCGCAUUUGGUUUUGAGAUGGUUUGCUUUAGUGAAAUGCUUUGGUCUAGCAUAAGUAGCACAAGACCUCUCUGGUCUCAGAAUAAUUAACUUCUGGGUUAAUAAAGAGAUUUUACAUUCUUGGAAAAAUAUUGCAAAAAAGUUCAGCUGCUCAUAUUUGACACUGUGGCAACCUGGAUUUAGUUCCAUUUACUCAGUCUUGUUAUUAAAUCAUGUUGCAGUUCAGGAUUUGACUGGUGCCUGCUGUGUGUUGCUAACUAGUGUUUGCUUGGGUUUGAGCUUGCCCAGUUCUGGUGGCAGCAAGGCAAGCCUUUCUUCUCUCUCUCCCUACAUGCUGAAAAACUGCAAGGUGGCCACAUCAACAAACCCACAACAGGAUCAAUACCUCCUUACGUACGCAGUUUUGGUUUCCCUGUCUUGUCAAACUCUGCUUACUUCUCUGGAGACUGAAAUGCCAGUGUUAUUAAUUAUCACAAGAUUUCACUAUAUAAGGAGUCUGGCUGCUGACUUCAGUGGGACUCGGCUAGCUCAGAUAAAAAGUCAUUAGCGCAACCAGUGACUUAACCAUAAACAGGUUCAUUUUAACCAGGAUUGCAGUUAGCACCUUGCUGUGCAUGUAACUAACUUGAGACUUUCAUACCACUACACUAUAAAAGUUGAAAUUAUAUCCAAGCACUCCAUAAAUGGAUUACACUAUUACCAUUAUUUGUAGCACUGAAUGACUGCAUUUUUACUGUCUUGCACUAAAUUAGCAUAAAUGAAUCACAAACAUGAGUGUAUUUGGUAAAGAUCAUAAAGUGAUGUUUCUGUAAUCAAAUUGUACAUUUUCAUUGUCUCAUUUGAUUUUGUUGCUUCAGCUUCUCUUGUGCACUUUCUUGAGUGCUGCAUUCCCUUCAGGGUAACAGGUUUCACUGACAGACGUGGCUCAGUCUAGAUCAUCACUCAGUACAGUUAUUCCUUGGCCUGACUUGGAUUUGGAUGUGUACACCAUGUCUUUGUCCAAAGUUUUAUGAACAUUCCCGAGCAAGCACAGCUCCCAAGCUCGCGCACUACUUGGCUUAGCCAUGGCAGGACACACUGACUAGAUACUUCCAGGUCUCCACAGCUCAGAGCAAUGUAUGUUCAGGUUAACAAUGUGGGGUGUUGCAACAUCAUCUAGUUCCUGUUGGAGACACAGGAUGCAUUUAACUAGGGAGAACAGGCUUUUAAAUCCCAAGGCCCUUGAGGGUCCCUUCAGGAACCAACAGGUGGCUUUUCCUUGUGUUCCUGCUGUCCAUGCUGGCACGAAGCUGGGGGAGAGGUGGUGGCUGUCCUGUCAGAGCAGAGCACGUGAGGCUGAACCAUGCGCAGGGACGCUGGGCAAGAGGUUUCCUGAGCUGCAUGGACCAUGGCUCUGGGAACCUGGCAAUACAGGCCCUGCUGUCCUGCUUUCAGUGCUUUUGAGGGGAUCCCAGAAAGCAGAGAAAGAAGAGUCCUCGCUACAUUGGUGAUGUUCCAGAGGCCCCAGAGGACUGAGUGUGUGAGUGCAUGUCAUGAGAGGGGACGUGUCCCAGGGGUAAUUUAGUUAUCAACCCCAUCGCUAACAUUUGGCCAAGCUGCUCCUACUAGGUCACAGCAACCCACUGUGUUGCUCUUCUUUGGAGGGAAGGGUGAGGCAAACCAAGGGGGGGGUGGUAUCACAGUCCUGACACCAACCUUCCUCUUACCCGUCCUAACAGCACAGAAGCUCUCCCGUGGGGCUGGUGAGACAUUUCUUAAAACUGCAAAGACAGUUGAUUAAUGACACACUGACAGGUAUCAGUCACUUGGAUCAAGUCUGACAACUCUGGAAGCACUGAAAUACAACUGUCCAGAACACAUGAAGCGGCUCACUUGUCCAUCUUCCCUUCGGUGGGUCUCUGGCCCUCUUGCCAUGCACAGUGAUGGUUUCAGGACUACACGCUUUAUUUUCCCUGGGAGUUUUGCCAGAAAAGGAGCAUACCAGGAACUACGUUAUAAAAGACUCACCCCCCGCGUACACAGGGAAGCCAAAGACCGUGCUCUUCUGUGUCUUAUGCUCUGAUGCACCUCCAGGCUUCCAACAACCACCUCCACCCCUCCCAAGUCCUUCUGAAGAACAGUUCUGCUUUUUGUAGGAUGAUCAUGGAUUAUUCCCCAAGCUAGGGAACACUACAGCUGGCAUUAAGAGGAUGAAUAUUCUUACAAAGACUUUAUCACCUUUGGAUCCCCAUGGUGAGUUUGCCCCGGGACAAGAGGGCUUUUAUUAAAAUGCAGUAGCAUGUAUGAAACGCUGACAUGUUUUGGUCUCACACCUAGUGAGAUAUGAGUGGCACAAACCCCUCACUAUUACUAGCAGUCCUAGAAAAAGCAAAUUCUAACCAUCUGAGAAACUGAAAACCCCUUCCUACCCUCCUUCUAGAAGAGGACUCGGGUACAAGGUGAGGCAAUGGCACAUCCUGCUUUUGCUCCACAGCUUCUGCUGACAAGAGUCCUACUGGCGCCGUAGCUCUCACUUUACCAUUUCCACAGUUAAGGUCCUUUCUAAAAUGCUACACAAAUGAAAGGAUAAGAAUCACAGUCAGACAUACAAAAUUUCAAAGUACUGCACUAAAUUCAGCUAAAGAAGGUCGUGUUUCUUUACAAAAUCAUUCUCUUAGCGCACUUAAAAAACCACGCAUUUUAGAACAGAAAAGUUACCACUGUAUUUACUGUAAAAAAGCCUUUUGCUUCAUCAGAGGAAAACUCACUUGGUAAGACAAGUGGCAUGGUUAUGUAAUUUUAAAAAUCUAAAUAUAUUUUAAACAAAUGUUGGAACCAGGUCUGGGGAAUACAACAUUCCAGGUUGAUUCAUUUUGAUUUUUGAUUUUCAUUUUGAUUUUUCUUUUCCACUGGUUGAUUCAUCUUUUUCAAAGAGGCCUGGAGAAAACCAAAGCAACUUACCUUCAAUGAUCCACGCUGCCACAUGGUCCAUCUGACCAGAUCUUGCACAAACUGCCCAGGGGUAACUGCAAAAUGUGGCUGUAGCUUGCAACUAGCUGUCAGCACACUGUGCUGUGGGGUUUGGCCAUACAUGGGGGUGUGUAAUAAAGAACUGGUUUCAAUUUUAUUUUGUUUGCGAUGCACCUUCCUUCAGUUGCCUGUGCUGUGACAAGGCAGGGAACAGACACGGCCAUGAAGCCUUCUCAGGGAGCUUCAGGACACAGGAAAAGGCACACACAUCUGUAAAAACUUUAUUUCAAAAUCUUUUUAUUCAAC